This 303-nucleotide long non-coding RNA is filed under the name Anas platyrhynchos platyrhynchos (common mallard). Its description in RNAcentral is "lncRNA (ENSAPLG00000029893.1)". Lineage: Eukaryota; Metazoa; Chordata; Aves; Anseriformes; Anatidae. The record is from RNAcentral.
AUGGAGAGGGGUGGGCUGUGCAAUAAGGGGGGCUCCAGGUGCUGGGAACCCUGCUGCCUGCCCUCCUGGCUGCUGUGUGUGAGGAGCCACCGCAGAGCUGCUCGGCUGCGUGUCCUGGAGCCCUGUCUGUCUGCAGGUUUCAUUACUUCUCAGGCUUGCUCAGUAAAGGCAGGAACAAAAUGCCCGUGCACUGAUGUUGUUGGAGCUGUAAUGUGCUGUGAUGAGCAGCGUCUGAUCUGCAAAACAUUCGCUUUUCCUGAUUGCUUUGUGCUUCCAAUCCUCCACGAGUCGCAGAGCUGGUAA